Molecule: ribosomal RNA, 837 nt
Filed under: uncultured Bacteroidota bacterium
Lineage: Bacteria; Pseudomonadati; Bacteroidota
Description: bacterial SSU rRNA
Rfam family: Bacterial small subunit ribosomal RNA
Source: RNAcentral
CGGCAGGCCUAAUACAUGCAAGUCGAGGGGUAACAUGAGAGCUUGCUCUUGAUGACGACCGGCGCACGGGUGCGUAACGCGUAUGCAACCUACCCACAACUGGAAGAUAGCCCGGAGAAAUCCGGAUUAAUACUCCAUAAUGCAGGGGUACCACCUGGUACUAUUUGCUAAAGAUUUAUUGGUUGUGGAUGGGCAUGCGUCUGAUUAGUUUGUUGGUGAGGUAACGGCUCACCAAGACUACGAUCAGUAGGGGGUCUGAGAGGAUGAUCCCCCACACUGGCACUGAGAUACGGGCCAGACUCCUACGGGAGGCAGCAGUAGGGAAUAUUGGGCAAUGGGCGAAAGCCUGACCCAGCCAUGCCGCGUGAAGGAUGAAGGCCUUCUGGGUUGUAAACUUCUUUUAUAUAGGAAGAAAAAGGUCAUGCGUGACCAAUUGACGGUACUAUAUGAAUAAGCACCGGCUAACUCCGUGCCAGCAGCCGCGGUAAUACGGAGGGUGCAAGCGUUGUCCGGAUUUAUUGGGUUUAAAGGGUGCGUAGGCGGUGCGCUAAGUCAGUGGUGAAAUCCCGCAGCUCAACUGCGGAACUGCCAUUGAUACUGGCGUACUUGAGUACAGACGAGGUAGGCGGAAUUUAUGGUGUAGCGGUGAAAUGCAUAGAUACCAUAAAGAACACCGAUAGCGAAGGCAGCUUACUAGACUGUAACUGACGCUCAGGCACGAAAGCGUGGGGAGCGAACAGGAUUAGAUACCCUGGUAGUCCACGCCGUAAACGAUGAUCACUCGAUGUGUGCGAUAAACUGUACGCGUCCAAGCGAAAGCGUUAAGUAUCCACCUGG